GUCCCUUCCCUUUAUUUAUCUUUAAAUUACAGGGUAGCAGCAACAAAAAGCAAGGGCUGGCAGCCCGCCCCGAGGCAGUCUCAUCGACUAAUGAUAGCCCUGCUGCCUCUUUGGCUGCCUCUUGGUGGAAUCCUCCAUUUCUGUGGCCCUGAGAAUACCCUCUAACCCCAAGAACUAAGAAAGAGAGAGAAGCAUGGGCCAAAAGGUGGAUCAGGCCAGGGGCUACACAGGUGAUCUCCAAAAAAUAUCCUCCAAGGCAUAGAUCAUCCUCCAAAUGACGUUUUCUCAACCUUUCCGGCGGCCGCCUUCCCGCUGAGUGGCUUCGAUGGACUGGACCCUGGUACGUGUGACCCGAGAGUGCACUCCCGCCUCUUGUGUGCCUCUCUUCUGCUGAUCUUCUGCUGUUCCCGUGGCUUGUGUCAAUGGCCGCACCAGCGGACACAAGGGGCAGUCAGUCGAGAGGCGCACAUACAUACAUGGGCUGCGGUGGGUUUAUGGCAGACGGGGGGACGGGAUUGAAGGCUCAAAAUCCUGGGAGCCACCGUCGUCGCGCAAUUGAAAUGAAAAUAUUCGCAAAUUGGCUGUGCCGUCCCCCACACAUCCUCUCGCCGCUGCUCCCAAUGGCCCUUCGUUCCUCACAAAUCCGUUCUCUUUAUUCUCCCCUCUCUCACUCUUUCUCUGCAUCUAUGUGCUCUUCAUUCUUCCCCCUACCAUUCCUUUACUUCUUCGUUGUAUUUGUGAGGCCACGCAAAUCGUCAGGCAGGCAGGCCACAGGCAAAAGGCUAAGUUAUACGGUAGCAGAGGGGAUAUUUGUUGGUUGCGAUCUUUAGUGAGCAAGAGUGCCACUUUUUUGUUGCGCUCGAAGAUAUUUGUUCAGGAUAAAUGGUUAAAGAUCGUCAUUUGAUUGCAUAUUUCGAUAGUUGUAUCAUAUUUUUCUUUAUGAGAUAUUUAAUCACUUUCCCAUUCUAAAAAGCAUACUCUCUCAGGAUUUUCCAGGGUAUUAAACUUGCUGCAACUCUUUUAGUCCCAUAUCCGAUCCCAUGGAUCGUCUGCUUAUCGGUUGUUGUGACUCCACAAGCUUCUUCACCUCCGUACUGGUCACUCCUUCUCUGCCCCCUCCUCCUACUGCUGCCAAUGCUCUUUCUGCCCCCUCUCCUCUUCCUUCUGAUCUUCAUCCUGUUCUUACCCCUCCACCUCCUGGCUCCCACCGCAGCAGCAGCAGCAGCAUUUGUGUUGUUCUGUGAAUGUUUUCAUUUCCAGGCGACCAUGUCGAUUUAUUUGAAUUUAAUCUCUGCCUUUAACAUGUUUCGGCGGGGCUCCAGUUGGUGCUGGUCUGCUGCUGGUGCUUGUGGAGCCUGCCCCAAGCGAAGAAGGAGGAGGCAGAGUAGCUGCAGUCAGAGAUGGAGCCAUGGCUUUGGGUUUUGCUGUUUUGGUAGCUGUUUGCAUUUGGAUUUAGUUCUUCUGUUGCUGGUUGCUGCUGCUGCUGCUGCUGCUCCUAGUGCUGCUUCUCUUUUUGUGGCAUUCCUCAAGUUUAUUAUAUGAGAGCCUAGGACAUCGACAUUCACAUUCGAUCGACACUUGUGGCGGGGGCCAGUGGGAGGAGCUGAACGCAGAGAGGGAGCUCCAACUGCUGAGGGGAGAAGGCAGGAGGAUUGAAGCAGUGUUCCACUGCUGUGGCUCCUCCACUGAGAAAAAAAGAGCAGGUCAAGCCGCCUGUAGGCCUUUUUGCUGUCUGUCGAGGCCCCACUUUUCACAGCUCUGCUGGGGAGUAGCUCUAGUAGCAGGCGGGGAUUAGGUCUAUUCCUGUGCUGUUCCCUCUUUCUCUUGUUUUUGCUCCUUCUUCUCUUUCGUUUUGCCCAUAGCUCGACGACCGCUAAGGAAUUUGAUUUAUUUUAUUUGGCGUUAAAAACAC
Molecule: long non-coding RNA, 1912 nt
Filed under: Drosophila guanche
Lineage: Eukaryota; Metazoa; Arthropoda; Insecta; Diptera; Drosophilidae
Source: RNAcentral